Long non-coding RNA from Drosophila sechellia, 114 nucleotides. RefSeq lists it as uncharacterized. The record is from RefSeq and is a predicted model, not a curated record. NCBI's taxonomy places the organism in Eukaryota, Metazoa, Arthropoda, Insecta, Diptera, Drosophilidae. The transcript is spliced from 3 exons.
GUAAAAGUUUUUCAUGUGAUUGAAGUAUGAUUUCUUUGAAUUCGGCGUAUGAACCAACGUUCUUUAAUAGGAAAAGACUGCGAAUUACUUUUGUGUAGGUGGUAUUAAUAAUUU